Molecule: ribosomal RNA, 724 nt
Filed under: bacterium IMCC8635
Lineage: Bacteria
Description: bacterial SSU rRNA
Rfam family: Bacterial small subunit ribosomal RNA
Source: RNAcentral
AUUGAACGCUGGCGGCAGGCCUAACACAUGCAAGUCGAGCGCGAAAGCACUUCGGUGUGAGUAGAGCGGCGGACGGGUGAGUAACGCGUAAGAAUCUACCUAGUAGUGGGGGACAACUCGAGGAAACUCGAGCUAAUACCGCAUACGCCCUACGGGGGAAAGCGGGGGACCUUCGGGCCUCGCGCUAUUAGAUGAGCUUGCGUUGGAUUAGCUUGUUGGUGAGGUAAUGGCUCACCAAGGCUACGAUCCAUAGCUGGUCUGAGAGGAUGAUCAGCCACACCGGGACUGAGACACGGCCCGGACUCCUACGGGAGGCAGCAGUGGGGAAUAUUGCGCAAUGGGCGGAAGCCUGACGCAGCCAUGCCGCGUGUGUGAAGAAGGCCUUAGGGUUGUAAAGCACUUUCAAUUGGGAGGAAAAGUUAACGACUAAUACUCGUUAGCCUUGACGUUACCUUUAGAAGAAGCACCGGCUAACUCCGUGCCAGCAGCCGCGGUAAUACGGAGGGUGCAAGCGUUAAUCGGAAUUACUGGGCGUAAAGCGCGCGUAGGCGGCUUUUUAAGUCGGAUGUGAAAGCCCCGGGCUCAACCUGGGAACUGCAUCCGAUACUGGAAGGCUAGAGUGCGAGAGAGGGAGGUAGAAUUCCAUGUGUAGCGGUGAAAUGCGUAGAUAUAUGGAGGAAUACCAGUGGCGAAGGCGGCCUCCUGGCUCGACACUGACGCUGAG